Molecule: non-coding RNA, 30 nt
Filed under: Mus musculus (house mouse)
Lineage: Eukaryota; Metazoa; Chordata; Mammalia; Rodentia; Muridae
Source: RNAcentral
UAAGAAUAAAUAAAAAUGGUUAACCACAUA